This 463-nucleotide ribosomal RNA is filed under the name uncultured bacterium. RNAcentral describes it as "bacterial SSU rRNA". It matches the Rfam family "Bacterial small subunit ribosomal RNA", at positions 331 to 792 of the family's 1533-position model. The record is from RNAcentral.
CCAGACUCCUACGGGAGGCAGCAGUGAGGAAUAUUGGUCAAUGGUCGGGAGACUGAACCAGCCAAGCCGCGUGAGGGAUGAAGGUACAGAGUAUCGUAAACCUCUUUUGUCAGGGAACAAAGGCGGGGACGCGUCCCCGGAUGAGUGUACCUGAAGAAAAAGCAUCGGCUAACUCCGUGCCAGCAGCCGCGGUAAUACGGAGGAUGCGAGCGUUAUCCGGAUUUAUUGGGUUUAAAGGGUGCGCAGGCGGUUUGAAAGGCCGGGGGAAAACCCGGGGGCCCCAACCCCGCCCCGCCGUUGAAACUGGCAGUCUCGAGUUGGAGAGAAGUAUGCGGAAUGCGCGGUGUAGCGGUGAAAUGCAUAGAUAUCGCGCAGAACUCCGAUUGCGAAGGCAGCAUGCCGGCUCCACACUGACGCUGAGGCACGAAAGCGUGGGUAUCGAACAGGAUUAGAUACCCCUGUA